Molecule: ribosomal RNA, 253 nt
Filed under: uncultured bacterium
Lineage: Bacteria
Description: partial 16S ribosomal RNA
Rfam family: Bacterial small subunit ribosomal RNA
Source: RNAcentral
UACGGAGGGUGCAAGCGUUAUCCGGAUUCACUGGGGUUAAAGGGUGCGUAGGUGGGUAAGUAAGUCAGUGGUGAAAUCUCCGGGCUUAACCCGGAAACUGCCAUUGAUACUAUUUGUCUUGAAUACUGUGGAGGUCAGCGGAAUAUGUCAUGUAGCGGUGAAAUGCUUAGAUAUGACAUAGAACACCAAUUGCGAAGGCAGCUGGCUACACAAAUAUUGACACUGAGGCACGAAAGCGUGGGGAUCAAACAGG